CGAUGAAGAGCGCAGCCAACUGUGUGAAUUAAUGUGAACUGCAUACUGCUUUGAACAUCGACAUCUUGAACGCACAUUGCGGCCAUGGGUUAUCCCAUGGCCACGCCUGUCCGAGGGUCGG
RNAcentral lists this ribosomal RNA (121 nucleotides) under Glypthelmins hyloreus. RNAcentral's name for it is "partial 5.8S ribosomal RNA". It matches the Rfam family "5.8S ribosomal RNA", at positions 34 to 154 of the family's 154-position model. Rfam says of the family: 5.8S ribosomal RNA (5.8S rRNA) is a component of the large subunit of the eukaryotic ribosome. Lineage: Eukaryota; Metazoa; Platyhelminthes; Trematoda; Plagiorchiida; Plagiorchiidae. The record is from RNAcentral.